RNAcentral lists this small RNA (144 nucleotides) under bovine gut metagenome. RNAcentral describes it as "Clostridiales-1 RNA". It matches the Rfam family "Clostridiales-1 RNA". The record is from RNAcentral.
CAAGGUUUUAAUGUCAUCGCUAUGCGCGCUUGCGCGCUUAUAGCGAUGAACAUUCAAAACCUGCAAGGGCAUGAGGAACGCAGGACGAAGUCCGAAGUUCCGAAUGACCAGGAGCGCGGGAGUGCGAAGCACGGAGCGAUCCGU